RNAcentral lists this ribosomal RNA (407 nucleotides) under Photobacterium angustum. RNAcentral's name for it is "bacterial SSU rRNA". It matches the Rfam family "Bacterial small subunit ribosomal RNA", at positions 1128 to 1533 of the family's 1533-position model. Lineage: Bacteria; Pseudomonadati; Pseudomonadota; Gammaproteobacteria; Vibrionales; Vibrionaceae. The record is from RNAcentral.
AUGGUGGGAACUCCAGGGAGACUGCCGGUGAUAAACCGGAGGAAGGUGGGGACGACGUCAAGUCAUCAUGGCCCUUACGAGUAGGGCUACACACGUGCUACAAUGGCGUAUACAGAGGGCUGCCAACCAGCGAUGGUGAGCGAAUCCCAGAAAGUACGUCGUAGUCCGGAUUGGAGUCUGCAACUCGACUCCAUGAAGUCGGAAUCGCUAGUAAUCGUGAAUCAGAAUGUCACGGUGAAUACGUUCCCGGGCCUUGUACACACCGCCCGUCACACCAUGGGAGUGGGCUGCACCAGAAGUAGAUAGCUUAACCUUCGGGAGGGCGUUUACCACGGUGUGGUUCAUGACUGGGGUGAAGUCGUAACAAGGUAGCCCUAGGGGAACCUGGGGCUGGAUCACCUCCUUAC